UGGGGAAUAUUGCACAAUGGGGGAAACCCUGAUGCAGCGACGCCGCGUGAGUGAAGAAGUAUUUCGGUAUGUAAAGCUCUAUCAGCAGGGAAGAAAAUGACGGUACCUGACUAAGAAGCCCCGGCUAACUACGUGCCAGCAGCCGCGGUAAUACGUAGGGGGCAAGCGUUAUCCGGAAUUACUGGGUGUAAAGGGUGCGUAGGUGGUAUGGCAAGUCAGAAGUGAAAACCCAGGGCUUAACUCUGGGACUGCUUUUGAAACUGUCAGACUGGAGUGCAGGAGAGGUAAGCGGAAUUCCUAGUGUAGCGGUGAAAUGCGUAGAUAUUAGGAGGAACAUCAGUGGCGAAGGCGGCUUACUGGACUGAAACUGACACUGAGGCACGAAAGCGUGGGGAGCAAACAGG
Molecule: ribosomal RNA, 404 nt
Filed under: uncultured Eubacterium sp.
Lineage: Bacteria; Bacillati; Bacillota; Clostridia; Eubacteriales; Eubacteriaceae
Description: bacterial SSU rRNA
Rfam family: Bacterial small subunit ribosomal RNA
Source: RNAcentral